Molecule: ribosomal RNA, 491 nt
Filed under: uncultured bacterium
Lineage: Bacteria
Description: partial 16S ribosomal RNA
Rfam family: Bacterial small subunit ribosomal RNA
Source: RNAcentral
AGUGAACGCUGGCGGUAGGCCUAACACAUGCAAGUCGAACGGCAGCACAGUAAGAGCUUGCUCUUACGGGUGGCGAGUGGCGGACGGGUGAGGAAUACAUCGGAAUCUACUUUUUCGUGGGGGAUAACGUAGGGAAACUUACGCUAAUACCGCAUACGACCUACGGGUGAAAGCAGGGGAUCUUCGGACCUUGCGCGAUUGAAUGAGCCGAUGUCGGAUUAGCUAGUUGGCGGGGUAAAGGCCCACCAAGGCGACGAUCCGUAGCUGGUCUGAGAGGAUGAUCAGCCACACUGGAACUGAGACACGGUCCAGACGCCUACGGGAGGCAGCAGUGGGGAAUAUUGGACAAUGGGCGCAAGCCUGAUCCAGCCAGACCGCGUGGGUGAAGAAGGCCUUCGGGUUGUAAAGCCCUUUUGUUGGGAAAGAAAAGCAGCAGGUUAAUACCCCGCUGUUCGGACGGUACCCAAAGAAUAAGCACCGGCUAACUGCGU